GACGAACGCUGGCGGCGUGCUUAACACAUGCAAGUCGAACGGAAAGGCCCUGCUUUUGUGGGGUGCUCGAGUGGCGAACGGGUGAGUAACACGUGAGUAACCUGCCCUUGACUUUGGGAUAACUUCAGGAAACUGGGGCUAAUACCGGAUAGGAGCUCCUGCUGCAUGGUGGGGGUUGGAAAGUUUCGGCGGUUGGGGAUGGACUCGCGGCUUAUCAGCUUGUUGGUGGGGUAGUGGCUUACCAAGGCUUUGACGGGUAGCCGGCCUGAGGGGGUGACCGGACAAUGUGGGACUGAGAUAGGCCCCAGACCGCUGGGGGGGGAAGGGGGGGGGAAUAUUGAAAAGGGGGGGGAAGCCUGAUGAAGCAACGCCGGGGGGGGGAGGGCGGCUUUGGGGUUGAAAACCGCUUUCCCCUGUGACGAAGGGGGAGUGGCGGAAAGGGGUAAAGAAGCACCGGCUAAAUACG
RNAcentral lists this ribosomal RNA (466 nucleotides) under uncultured bacterium. RNAcentral describes it as "partial 16S ribosomal RNA". It matches the Rfam family "Bacterial small subunit ribosomal RNA", at positions 28 to 505 of the family's 1533-position model. The record is from RNAcentral.